This 321-nucleotide ribosomal RNA is filed under the name Eocercomonas sp. Its description in RNAcentral is "SSU rRNA". The stretch from base 101 to 321 matches the Rfam family "Eukaryotic small subunit ribosomal RNA", at positions 734 to 955 of the family's 1831-position model. The record is from RNAcentral. Lineage: Eukaryota; Cercozoa; Cercomonadida; Cercomonadidae.
GAUUUCUGACUUGGUGCGCGCUGUCCGUUGCGGUUACGUGACGUGUGCAGUAGCGCGCCUGUCAUACUUCUGGAUUUUGAUGUUGCCCUUCACUGGGUGAUGUCGCUAUCUAGAUCUUUUACUUUGAAAAAAUUAGAGUGUUUAAAGCAGGCUUUUUGCUAUGAAUACAUUAGCAUGGAAUAAUAAUUUAGGACUUUGGCCCUAUUUUGUUGGUUUCUAGGACUGAAGUAAUGAUUGAUAGGGAUAGUUGGGGGUGCUCGAAUUCAGCGGCCAGAGGUGAAAUUCUUGGAUUCGCUGAAGACGAACUCAUGCGAAAGCAUU